RNAcentral lists this ribosomal RNA (48 nucleotides) under Colletotrichum gloeosporioides. Its description in RNAcentral is "partial 28S ribosomal RNA". The record is from RNAcentral. Lineage: Eukaryota; Fungi; Ascomycota; Sordariomycetes; Glomerellales; Glomerellaceae. RNAcentral also lists the same sequence under 4 other names.
UGACCUCGGAUCAGGUAGGAAUACCCGCUGAACUUAAGCAUAUCAAAA